RNAcentral lists this ribosomal RNA (254 nucleotides) under uncultured bacterium. RNAcentral describes it as "partial 16S ribosomal RNA". It matches the Rfam family "Bacterial small subunit ribosomal RNA", at positions 524 to 776 of the family's 1533-position model. The record is from RNAcentral.
UACGGGGGGGGGUAAGCGUUGUUCGGAAUUACUGGGCGUAAAGGGCUCGUAGGCGGCCAACUAAGUCAUACGUGAAAUCCCUCAGCUUAACUGGGGAACUGCGUGUGAUACUGGAUGGCUUGGAUUUGGGAGAGGGAUGCGGAAUUCCAGGUGUAGCGGUGAAAUGCGUAGAUAUCUGGAGGAACACCGGUGGCGAAGGCGGCAUCCUGGACCGACAUUGACGCUGAUGCGCGAAAGCCAGGGGAGCAAACGGG